This 497-nucleotide ribosomal RNA is filed under the name uncultured bacterium. Its description in RNAcentral is "partial 16S ribosomal RNA". It matches the Rfam family "Bacterial small subunit ribosomal RNA", at positions 28 to 507 of the family's 1533-position model. The record is from RNAcentral.
GAUGAACGCUGGCGGCGUGCCUAAUACAUGCAAGUCGAGCGAACAGACGAGGAGCUUGCUCCUCUGACGUUAGCGGCGGACGGGUGAGUAACACGUGGAUAACCUACCUAUAAGACUGGGAUAACUUCGGGAAACCGGAGCUAAUACCGGAUAAUAUAUUGAACCGCAUGGUUCAAUAGUGAAAGACGGUUUUGCUGUCACUUAUAGAUGGAUCCGCGCCGCAUUAGCUAGUUGGUAAGGUAACGGCUUACCAAGGCAACGAUGCGUAGCCGAUCUGAAAGAGUGAUCGGCCACACUGGAACUGAGACACGGUCCAGACUCCUACGGGAGGCAGCAGUAGGGAAUCUUCCGCAAUAGGCGAAAGCCUGACGGAGCAACGCCGCGUAAGUGAUGAAGGUCUUCGGAUCGUAAAACUCUGUUAUUAGGGAAGAACAAAUGUGUAAGUAACUAUGCACGUCUUGACGGUACCUAAUCAGAAAGCCACGGCUAACUACGUG